Molecule: ribosomal RNA, 427 nt
Filed under: uncultured fungus
Lineage: Eukaryota; Fungi
Description: eukaryotic LSU rRNA
Rfam family: Eukaryotic large subunit ribosomal RNA
Source: RNAcentral
GACCUCAAAUCAGGUAGGACUACCCGCUGAACUUAAGCAUAUCAAUAAGCGGAGGAAAAGAAACUAACAAGGAUUCCCCUGGUAACUGCGAGUGAAGCGGGAAAAGCUCAAAUUUAAAAUCUGGUAGUCUAUGGCUGCCCGAGUUGUAAUCUAGAGAAGCGUUAUCCGCGCUGGACCGUGUACAAGUCUCCUGGAAUGGAGCGUCAUAGAGGGUGAGAAUCCCGUCUUUGACACGGACUACCAGGGCUUUGUGAUGCGCUCUCAAAGAGUCGAGUUGUUUGGGAAUGCAGCUCUAAAUGGGUGGUAAAUUCCAUCUAAAGCUAAAUAUUGGCGAGAGACCGAUAGCGAACAAGUACCGUGAGGGAAAGAUGAAAAGAACUUUGGAAAGAGAGUUAAACAGUACGUGAAAUUGUUGAAAGGGAAACGC